UAAUAAGUGUUUUAUGGCACUUUUUAAAUCCAUACCCACCUUGUGUGCAAUGUCGGUCGAUCUUCUUUUUUUUGAGGAUCGACCAAACAUCAACCUUUAUUUUUUAACUCUUUGUCUGAAAAAUAUUAUGAAUAAACAAUUCAAAAUA
This 148-nucleotide unclassified non-coding RNA is filed under the name soil metagenome. RNAcentral's name for it is "partial internal transcribed spacer 1". The record is from RNAcentral.